UAUCUUUAGUGAGUCGUAGAGAACUUCUAAGAACAUUUAAUGUAAUAGUUCCUUCUGUAAAUCGAGAUGACCGAGUCUCAACCAUUAACACUGAAAGCAGACAGUGAUCAUGUGAGACAUGAGUCCAUUCUGAUUGGCUUGUCACAACCAGUCCUGUCUGUAGAAAGUAGAGCACAUUAAGAGAUUCUAUCAGUGAAGCAAAACCAUUUAAAGAAAAUGACUCCUCUAAUGUUUAUUGGCUAUGUGACAUGUCUGAUCCUGGACACUUUGGUUCAUUUGGAGGCUCAGACUCCGUCGCCGUCUCUGCAUUUUGAAUCGGUCAACAUCGGCUCAAACGUGACUUUAAAGUGUUUCCAUAAAGAAACUGAUGGAGUGAUUUUCUACUGGUAUAAACAAACUGCAGGGCAGAAACCACAGCUGAUGUCAGAGUUUUAUAGAUAUAAGAAAAAUGGCUCACUUACGGGUCAAUUUUGCAAUGAUCCACGAUUUGAGCUGGAAACUGGCAAAGACAAAAACCACUUGAGGAUCUCGUAUGCACAACUGUCAGACUCUGCUACUUACUACUGUGCAGCAAUUGAUACAUAUGUGCAUACAUUUCUAGAGGGCAUUAUAGUCCAUGUCAAAGAACCAAAACUGAACAUUUGGACGUUGGUGGAUCAGUCCAGAUCUGAGAUCAUCCAGCCAGGAGGUUCUGUGACUUUGAAGUGUUCGGUACAAAGUGGGACCUGCGAUGAGGAACACAGAGUUUUCUGGUUCAGAAACUCUGAAGAACACCUUCCAGAGAUCAUUUACACCAGUGGAGCCAGUGAUGACCAGUGUCAGAAGAAGCCGACCACACAGCCACACAGCUGCGUGUACAGCCUGUCCAUAGACAGUCUGAACAUGUCCAAUGCCGGGACCUACCACUGUGCCGUUGCCUCCUGUGGACACAUUGUGUUUGGAAAGGGGAUGCAGCUGGACUAUGAGAAGAAGUCUGACUCCCCUGUCCUGCUGUACGUCUUGAGUGGAGCUUUAGCGUUCAGCGUCAUCCUGGUGGUAAUUCUGGCUCAAAAACUGCACAAAACCAAGUUCUGCAAAGAGAGAUCCUCAGCAGCCGCGACUCUGAAUGCAGAUGAUUACGAGGAUGCAGAAAAUCUCCAUUAUGCUGCUUUAAGAAGCAGUAAAAUCAGCAGAUCGAGAGGGAAGAGAGAUGCCACCAAUGAAGUCGUGUACUCCAGUGUUGGGCCUCAGAACUGAAGUUGCUUCUUUGUGUUGUUAGGCUGACGUCUGCGGUAGAAACCCCCUUGACAAGCUUUUGACCAAAACAUAAAUAUUCCAGUUCAUUUAGCUGUAAUUAAGCUUCACCUGUCAGAUGUGACCAAACCAUUAACACUGAAAGCAGACAGUGAUCAUGUGAGACCUGAGUCCAUUCUGAUUGGCUUGUCACAACCAGUCCUGUCUGUAGAAAGUAGAGCACAGUAAGAGAUCCUAUCAGUGAAGCAAAACCAU
Molecule: RNA transcript, 1488 nt
Organism: Poeciliopsis prolifica (blackstripe livebearer)
Lineage: Eukaryota; Metazoa; Chordata; Actinopteri; Cyprinodontiformes; Poeciliidae
Exons: 6
Source: RefSeq, a predicted model, not a curated record